Molecule: long non-coding RNA, 582 nt
Filed under: Homo sapiens (human)
Lineage: Eukaryota; Metazoa; Chordata; Mammalia; Primates; Hominidae
Description: non-protein coding lnc-ST6GALNAC2-2:1
Source: RNAcentral
CUUUCUGAUGCUGGAGCCUGCUAGACCAGGGGUCCCCAAUCCCAAGCCUGGUCCGAGACCUGUUAGGAACAGGGCAUCGCAGCAGGAGGGACACCACAUCAUUUGAAGCAUUCUUUCAAUCCAAGGCAUCGAAUUCUUGGACAGGAAAGGGCCAGGCCUGCCGACACCUGCUUCACCUGGCCAUUCAGCGGCACCCCCACUUCCGUGGCCUGUUCAAUCUCUCCAUUCCAGUGCUGCUGUGGGGGGACCUCUUCACCCCAGCGCUCUGGGACCGCCUGAGCCAACACAAAGCCCCGUAUGGCUGGCGGGGGCUCUCUCACCAAGGGACACCCCUCCAAAGUGUAUCCGGUGUGCCGUGGUGGGCAACGGAGGCAUUCUGAAUGGGUCCCGCCAGGGUCCCAACAUCGAUGCCCAUGACUAUGUAUUCAGACUCAAUGGAGCUGUGAUCAAAGGCUUCGAGCGCGAUGUGGGCACCAAGACUUCCUUCUAUGGUUUCACUGUGAACACGAUGAAGAACUCCCUCGUCUCCUACUGGAAUCUGGGCUUCACCUCCGUGCCACAAGGACAGAAAAAUCCUGUGCA